AGUUAGCGGCGGACGGGUGAGUAACACGUGGGCAACCUACCUGUAAGACUGGGAUAACUUCGGGAAACCGGAGCUAAUACCGGAUGACAUAAAGGAACUCCUGUUCCUUUAUUGAAAGAUGGCUUCGGCUAUCACUUACAGAUGGGCCCGCGGCGCAUUAGCUAGUUGGUGAGGUAACGGCUCACCAAGGCGACGAUGCGUAGCCGACCUGAGAGGGUGAUCGGCCACACUGGGACUGAGACACGGCCCAGACUCCUACGGGAGGCAGCAGUAGGGAAUCUUCCGCAAUGGACGAAAGUCUGACGGAGCAACGCCGCGUGAGCGAUGAAGGCCUUCGGGUCGUAAAGCUCUGUUGUUAGGGAAGAAUAAGUGCUAGUUGAAUAAGCUGGCACCUUGACGGUACCUAACCAGAAAGCCACGGCUAACUACGUGCCAGCAGCCGCGGUAAUACGUAGGUGGCAAGCGUUGUCCGGAAUUAUUGGGCGUAAAGCGCGCGCAGGCGG
Molecule: ribosomal RNA, 503 nt
Filed under: uncultured bacterium
Lineage: Bacteria
Description: bacterial SSU rRNA
Rfam family: Bacterial small subunit ribosomal RNA
Source: RNAcentral